This 775-nucleotide ribosomal RNA is filed under the name Grandisonia alternans. RNAcentral describes it as "partial 16S ribosomal RNA". It matches the Rfam family "Bacterial large subunit ribosomal RNA", at positions 1431 to 2554 of the family's 2925-position model. Lineage: Eukaryota; Metazoa; Chordata; Amphibia; Gymnophiona; Indotyphlidae. The record is from RNAcentral.
UCAAAACCCACUAAACCUAACGAGUAUGCCUAUAAAUUUAUAGCCGAAUUAAUGUUAGAACUAGUAAUAAGAAAGCACAACUUUCUCUCCAGCACCAGUGUAAAUCAUCCCGAACUAAUCACUGAUAUUUAUCGAUCGUAUAAUUUAACCUAAACAAUCCCACCAGACAUUCAAUUUUUACACACCGUUAACCCAACACAGGAGUGCUACCAAGAAAGACAUAAGAGUAAAGAAGGAACUCGGCAAUCAUAAGCUUCGCCUGUUUACCAAAAACAUCACCUCUAGCAAAUCUAAACACGUAUUAGAGCACUGCCUGCCCAGUGAUUUUUAUUCAACGGCCGCGGUAUUCUGACCGUGNNAAGGUAGCAUAAUCACUUGUCUUUUAAAUAAAGACUAGUAUGAACGGCACCACGAAAGCCUAACUGUCUCCUUUACCCAGUCAAUGAAACUGAUCUUCACGUACAAAAGCGUGAAUACUAAAAUAAGACGAGAAGACCCUAUGGAACUUAAAACACGCAACCAAUUUAAUCUAAUGUAAUAGCAAUAAACACCUGGAUUAUACUGUUUUUGGUUGGGGCGACCACGGAGUAAAACACAACCUCCGAGAACACUACCUAGAUUAUACACGACACAGUACCAAAACUUUGAUUAUAAGACCCAAUAAAUUUGAUCAUCGAACCAAGCUACCCUAGGGAUAACAGCGCAAUCUUCUUCACGAGCCCUUAUCACCAAGAAGGUUUACGACCUCGAUGUUGGAUCAGGAUACCCAGACAGU